UUUCACAAACCAGAGCUGGGAGAAUAUGUCAUCGUUUGGGAUGGGAAAGUGGCGAGAAGCUAAACGGGCGUCUUAGAGAUGAAUGGUCAGUGACCAGCGGUCAGUGACCAGCGGUCAGGUGACCAGCGGUCAGGUGACCAGCCCAGGCUCACCCCGAUCCUGAUCCUUCUGCAGGUUUAAUAAAAUCCAGCCGAUUAAUUAAUGAGAGAAAAUAAACGUUAGAGGUUGAUGGUAAACCGUUGGGUCAUGAAGUUCAAACUACUUUACAUGACUCAGUUGUUAUAAACAUGCUGCAUGUCAAAUAUGACUGAAAACAUUCAACUUUAUAAUUCAGCAUCUUGAAACUGGGUCUGUGUCUUUAAGAAGCUCCUGCUCUUUCUGAGGCUCCGCCUCCAGGAAGUCAUCCCAACAUGGCUGCUCUAUUAACCCUUUAAUGUUUGUACCAGUGCUGCUCUGAGAACCUGAUGCAGCUCCAGCUUCUGGCAAGUCUGAAGGGGGAGGAGCUGCGCCUCGGAGGCGGGGCUAGGCCCAUCCAGGUGUUUUAAACAGCUGAAUGGUUGCCAUGGAGAUGAAAGGAUUUCUGAAACAUAAAUGAAUCAAAGCGACGCUGCAGGUUACAACAUUAUAACAUGAUAUAAAAAUAAAACAGUGGAUUUGACGCGACACCGGCCCUUUAAAUGUUCCCGGCUCAGCGUCCAGACAGUGAUGUCACAUAAACAAAGUCUGAGUCAUUCAUCAACACCUCUUCAGUUUAUUGUUUCACAGAAAUCGGUGCGGUGAUGAAAUCCUGUCAUUGUGAGUCCUCUCCGCGUUGAGUCAUCAAUAAAGCAGGUCAAAGGUCGCAGCGGCUGACUUGUGUUGAGCGCUGCGUCCUCCUGAACGGCCGCAAAGUGAAAUCCUGA
Molecule: long non-coding RNA, 902 nt
Organism: Xiphophorus couchianus (Monterrey platyfish)
Lineage: Eukaryota; Metazoa; Chordata; Actinopteri; Cyprinodontiformes; Poeciliidae
Exons: 2
Source: RefSeq, a predicted model, not a curated record